UUUUAUUAUGAGAGUUUGAUCCUGGCUCAGGACGAACGCUGGCGGCGUGCCUAAUACAUGCAAGUCGAACGCUUCUUUUCCCACUGGAGCUUGCUCCACCGGGAAAAGAGGAGUGGCGAACGGGUGAGUAACACGUGGGUAACCUGCCCAUCAGAAGGGGAUAACACUUGGAAACAGGUGCUAAUACCGUAUAACAAUCGAAACCGCAUGGUUUCGUUUUGAAAGGCGCUUUACGGUGCCGCUGAUGGAUGGACCCGCGGUGCAUUAGCUAGUUGGUGAGGUAACGGCUCACCAAGGCCACGAUGCAUAGCCGACCUGAGAGGGUGAUCGGCCACAUUGGGACUGAGACACGGCCCAAACUCCUACGGGAGGCAGCAGUAGGGAAUCUUCGGCAAUGGACGAAAGUCUGACCGAGCAACGCCGCGUGAGUGAAGAAGGUUUUCGGAUCGUAAAACUCUGUUGUUAGAGAAGAACAAGGGUGAGAGUAACUGUUCACCCCUUGACGGUAUCUAACCAGAAAGCCACGGCUAACUACGUGCCAGCAGCCGCGGUAAUACGUAGGUGGCAAGCGUUGUCCGGAUUUAUUGGGCGUAAAGCGAGCGCAGGCGGUUUCUUAAGUCUGAUGUGAAAGCCCCCGGCUCAACCGGGGAGGGUCAUUGGAAACUGGGAGACUUGAGUGCAGAAGAGGAGAGUGGAAUUCCAUGUGUAGCGGUGAAAUGCGUAGAUAUAUGGAGGAACACCAGUGGCGAAGGCGGCUCUCUGGUCUGUAACUGACGCUGAGGCUCGAAAGCGUGGGGAGCAAACAGGAUUAGAUACCCUGGUAGUCCACGCCGUAAACGAUGAGUGCUAAGUGUUGGAGGGUUUCCGCCCUUCAGUGCUGCAGCUAACGCAUUAAGCACUCCGCCUGGGGAGUACGACCGCAAGGUUGAAACUCAAAGGAAUUGACGGGGGCCCGCACAAGCGGUGGAGCAUGUGGUUUAAUUCGAAGCAACGCGAAGAACCUUACCAGGUCUUGACAUCCUUUGACCACUCUAGAGAUAGAGCUUCCCCUUCGGGGGCAAAGUGACAGGUGGUGCAUGGUUGUCGUCAGCUCGUGUCGUGAGAUGUUGGGUUAAGUCCCGCAACGAGCGCAACCCUUAUUGUUAGUUGCCAUCAUUUAGUUGGGCACUCUAGCAAGACUGCCGGUGACAAACCGGAGGAAGGUGGGGAUGACGUCAAAUCAUCAUGCCCCUUAUGACCUGGGCUACACACGUGCUACAAUGGGAAGUACAACGAGUCGCGAAGUCGCGAGGCUAAGCUAAUCUCUUAAAGCUUCUCUCAGUUCGGAUUGUAGGCUGCAACUCGCCUACAUGAAGCCGGAAUCGCUAGUAAUCGCGGAUCAGCACGCCGCGGUGAAUACGUUCCCGGGCCUUGUACACACCGCCCGUCACACCACGAGAGUUUGUAACACCCGAAGUCGGUGAGGUAACCUUUUUGGAGCCAGCCGCCUAAGGUGGGAUAGAUGAUUGGGGUGAAGUCGUAACAAGGUAGCCGUAUCGGAAGGUGCGGCUGGAUCACCUCCUUU
Molecule: ribosomal RNA, 1564 nt
Filed under: Enterococcus mundtii
Lineage: Bacteria; Bacillati; Bacillota; Bacilli; Lactobacillales; Enterococcaceae
Description: bacterial SSU rRNA
Rfam family: Bacterial small subunit ribosomal RNA
Source: RNAcentral